This 405-nucleotide unclassified non-coding RNA is filed under the name soil metagenome. RNAcentral's name for it is "partial contains 5.8S ribosomal RNA, internal transcribed spacer 2, and large subunit ribosomal RNA". The stretch from base 1 to 122 matches the Rfam family "5.8S ribosomal RNA", at positions 35 to 154 of the family's 154-position model. The record is from RNAcentral.
GAUGAAGAACGUAGCAAAAUGCGAUACUUGGUGUGAAUUGCAGAAUCCCGUGAACCAUCGAGUUUUUGAACGCAAGUUGCGCCCGAAGCCUUUUGGCCGAGGGCACGUCUGCCUGGGCGUCACGCAUCGCGUCGCCCCCAACAAAUUCUCCGUCAGGGGAGCUUGUGUUUCGGGGGCGGAUACUGGUCUCCCGUGCUCAUGGCGCGGUUGGCCGAAAUAGGAGUCCCUUCGAUGGGCGCACGAACUAGUGGUGGUCGUAAAAACCCUCGUCUUUUGUUUCGUGCCGUUAGUCGCGAGGGAAGCUCUUCAAAAACCCCAGCGCGUCGUCUCUUGACGGCGCUUCGACCGCGACCCCAGGUCAGGCGGGACUACCCGCUGAGUUUAAGCAUAUCAAUAAGCGGAGGA